UAGUUGGUCCUAGAAGGACCUUCCCCAUACUCUGCAUCUUUGGCUCCCUUGAACACCUGCACCAGCUCGCGAAGUCCCAGCAGCAAGUAGGUUCUGGCUAAAUGCUCAUCUUCAUUUCCCUUAGCAUUCUGGCAGUCCUCAACCUUUCUGAUGAAUUUCUUUUCCAACUCUACUAAACCCCGCUCCAAGCAACCCACUCGUUUGUUGGCGCUGACAGCCAUGUCUUUCCAUUCUUCAAUCAGCUUUUGGUUGGCUUCUUGAAUUUCAUGGUGCUCAUUUUCGCAUUCUCGAAUCCUCUUACACAAUUGGUUGUACUUGACCUGUGCUUCCGACUUUUCAUCGAUGAUCCUGUGACCUCGAUCAAACCCUGGUUGACCCAGACCAUUUUGAUUGUCUUCUAACCAGUUGGG
This 410-nucleotide long non-coding RNA is filed under the name Nicotiana benthamiana. Its description in RNAcentral is "long non-coding RNA (NBEN_LNC007089)". The record is from RNAcentral. Lineage: Eukaryota; Viridiplantae; Streptophyta; Magnoliopsida; Solanales; Solanaceae.